CCCCUUUCAGGGUUGCUCCUGGAGAGUUUCCAAUACUCUACCAGUUUCAACUAUGGGAGGGAGAGUCAAACAGAGGCUUACCCGUUCCAUUCCUAGCUUGGGCAGUGGCUAACGAGUGGAAGGCAAUCUGCUACAAGU
Molecule: small nucleolar RNA, 138 nt
Filed under: Ornithorhynchus anatinus (platypus)
Lineage: Eukaryota; Metazoa; Chordata; Mammalia; Monotremata; Ornithorhynchidae
Source: RNAcentral